This 465-nucleotide ribosomal RNA is filed under the name Vreelandella stevensii. Its description in RNAcentral is "partial 16S ribosomal RNA". It matches the Rfam family "Bacterial small subunit ribosomal RNA", at positions 338 to 795 of the family's 1533-position model. Lineage: Bacteria; Pseudomonadati; Pseudomonadota; Gammaproteobacteria; Oceanospirillales; Halomonadaceae. The record is from RNAcentral.
CCUACGGGAGGCAGCAGUGGGGAAUAUUGGGCAAUGGGCGAAAGCCUGAUCCAGCCAUGCCGCGUGUGUGAAGAAGGCCUUCGGGUUGUAAAGCACUUUCAGUGGGGAAGAAAGCCUUGGGGCUAAUACCCUCGAGGAAGGACAUCACCCACAGAAGAAGCACCGGCUAACUCCGUGCCAGCAGCCGCGGUAAUACGGAGGGUGCGAGCGUUAAUCGGAAUUACUGGGCGUAAAGCGCGCGUAGGCGGUCUGAUAAGCCGGUUGUGAAAGCCCCGGGCUCAACCUGGGAACGGCAUCCGGAACUGUCAGGCUAGAGUGCAGGAGAGGAAGGUAGAAUUCCCGGUGUAGCGGUGAAAUGCGUAGAGAUCGGGAGGAAUACCAGUGGCGAAGGCGGCCUUCUGGACUGACACUGACGCUGAGGUGCGAAAGCGUGGGUAGCAAACAGGAUUAGAUACCCUUGUAGUC